UGAUCAUGACAUGCAGAUGACCCCUAUUGAUUUUGAGGUCACUAGGUCAAAGGUCAAGGUCACGGUGACCUGAAAUAGUAAAAUGGUUUCCGGAUGAUAACUCAAGAACGCAUACGCCUAGGAUCAUGAAACUUCAUGGGUAGAUUGAUCAUGACUCGCAGAUGACCCCUAUUGAUUUUGAGGUCACUAGGUCAAGGUCACGGUGACCCGAAAAAGUAAAAUGAUUUUCGGAUGAUAACUCAAGAAUGCUUUUGCCUAGGAUCAUGACACUUCAUAGGUACAUUGAUCGUGACUCGCAGAUGACCCCUAUUGAUUUUCAGGUCACUAGGUCAAAGGUCAAGGUCACAGUGACAAAAAUCGUAUUCACACAAUGGCUGCCACUACAACGGACAGCCCAUAUGGGGGGCAUGCAUGUUUUACAAACAGCCCUUGUUUCAGUAUUUAUUCUUACUACACUAUGUUCUUGUAGAUGUAAUAAUUAUGCCCCUGGAUCGUUAGAUCGGGGGUAUAUUGUUUUUGGCCUGUCUGUCUGUCAUUCAUUCAUUCAUUCAUUGUGUGUGUCCCAAAAAUUUAACCUUGGUUUAAGUUUGAUAACUUUUGCUUUAUUAAAGAUAGCGAGUUUAUUUUUGGCAUGCAUGUGUAUCUCACAAAGCUGCACAUUUUGAAUGGUGAAAAGUCAAGGUCAAGGUCAUCCUUCAAGGUCAAAGGUCAAAUAUAAUUGUAUUUUUCUUUUUUAAAACUUAAACCUUGGUUAAAGUUUGGUCAUAACUUUUGUAUGCCCCCGGAUCGAAAGAUCGUGGGUAUAUUGUUUUUGGCCUGUCUGUCAUUGUAUGUGUGUGUCCCAAAACUUUAAUCAAAACUUUUAUCUUGGUCAUAACUUUUGCUAUAUUCAAGAUAGCAACUUGAUAUUUGGCAUGCAAGUGUAUCUCAUGGAGCUGCACAUUUUGAGUGGUGAAAGGUCAAGGUCAAGAUCAUCCUUCAAGGUCAAAAGUCAAAAAAACAAAUUAAAAAACUUAAACCAAAACUUUAACCUUCUGCAUAACUUUUGCAAUAUUGAAGAUAGCAACUUGGCAUGCAUGUGUAUCUCAUGGAGCUGCUUAUUUUGAGUGGUGAAAGGUCAAGGUCAUCCUUCAAGGUCAAAGGUCAAAUUUAUGGCUUCAAAGCGGCGCAAGAGGGGGUAUUGUGUUUCUGACAAACACAUCUCUUGUUAAUAUUGAAGAUAGCAACUUGAUAUUUGGCAUGCACAUGUAUCUCAUGGAGCUACAUGUUUUGAGUGGUGAAAGGUCAAGGUCAUCCUUCAAGUUCAAAGGUCAAAAUUUAUAGCUUCAAAGCGGUGCAAUAGGGGACAUUGUGUUUCUGACAAACACAUCUCUUGUUGUUGUUUUUUUGGUUUUAUAAAUGGUAGUGCAUGUUCAUUUUGUAGAAGACAACUAUUACCAUAUUAUGAUUUUCUUUUUAUUGGAAGUAUGCAGAAUCAUAAUAAAUCCAUGUCUAGCUUGACUUUUGGCUGAUUAGUCACAGAUUUACAACUUGCCCAAAUGUUGUGGUCGAUGACUGCAUGAUAAUGUGGUUAAGGUUGGAUGCAACUGCUCCAAAACACUCUACAUGUAUAUUUAAUACAGAUAUGAAAUGAAAAAUGGUGUUAAGGGUCUUUACAAAUGUAUAUACAUUUUUAGACAAAGAAUUGUGACUGUGACCAGCUUUUUUGCAGGAUUAUGUCCCCUUUGAACUUAAAAAAGUCAGAUUAAGGUUUGCAUGCAAGAUGAAAUUUAGACUAAGGUUGAGGUCGCUGACCAAGUUCCAUAACUCUGACCUGCAUUUUAGCAGAAUUAACCCCCUUUUUGUUAGCGGAAAUUGGAUUAUGGUAAGCAUGCAACAAUAAUUUAUCUGUGUAAUUGCCACAGAUAUUCAAUCUAAACUGCAUCCAUGUUGUUGAGAUAAUCAUUUGCGGUCACAGACCAAGACCCAUUACUCUGACCUGCAUUUAAGGAAUUUCCACCUUGGCCUUCGGGUUGGGUAGAUAUCACUCUUUUUGGGUUGCAAUUGUUAAUACAUGUAUAGUCAAUGCCCCUCAACUCUGUCUAUGAUAUUUAUAUUUUACAUUUACUGAUGUGCCUUUAAACAUCUGUGAACAUGUAAUGUGAUGCCAAUUAACCAAAAAGUUACCCUAUUGUUAAGUAUAUGUUUUUCAAUUGUUGUUACAAUCACUUAUGUACAUGUUGAGUUGUAUUCUUACCAAGUAAAUGGGGUUGUAAAUGUAGGUUCUAAUAAAUAGUGAAACACA
Long non-coding RNA from Dreissena polymorpha, 2284 nucleotides. RefSeq lists it as uncharacterized. The record is from RefSeq and is a predicted model, not a curated record. The transcript has 2 exons. NCBI's taxonomy places the organism in Eukaryota, Metazoa, Mollusca, Bivalvia, Myida, Dreissenidae.